CCUACGGGAGGCAGCAAUUAGGAAUCUUGCGCAAUGGGGGCAACCCUGACGCAGCGACACAGUGUGGAGGAGGAAGGUCUUCGGAUUGUAAACUCCUUUUAUGAGGGAAGAAUAGAUGACGGUACCUCAUGAAUAAGCACCUGCUAACUACGUGCCAGAAGCAUCGGUGAUGCGUAGGGUGCGAACGUUAUCCGGAUUUAUUGGGCGUAUAGAGAAGCGUAGGUGUUUUUGUAAGUCUUUAGUUAAAUACCACGGCUCAACCGUGGAGAAGCUUUGGAAACUACAGAAAUUGAGACAGGAAUGGGCGAAUGGAAUUCCCAGUGGAGCGGUGAAAUGCGUUGAUAUUGGGAGGAACAUCAGUGGCGAAGGCGAUUCGCUGGUCCUUGUCUGACACUAAGGCUCGAAAGCGUGGGGAGCGAAAC
This 422-nucleotide ribosomal RNA is filed under the name uncultured prokaryote. RNAcentral describes it as "bacterial SSU rRNA". It matches the Rfam family "Bacterial small subunit ribosomal RNA", at positions 338 to 774 of the family's 1533-position model. The record is from RNAcentral.